GACGAACGCUGGCGGCGUGCUUAACACAUGCAAGUCGAACGGAAAGGCCCUGCUUUUGUGGGGUGCUCGAGUGGCGAACGGGUGAGUAACACGUGAGUAACCUGCCCUUGACUUUGGGAUAACUUCAGGAAACUGGGGCUAAUACCGGAUAGGAGCUCCUGCUGCAUGGUGGGGGUUGGAAAGUUUCGGCGGUUGGGGAUGGACUCGCGGCUUAUCAGCUUGUUGGUGGGGUAGUGGCUUACCAAGGCUUUGACGGGUAGCCGGCCUGAGAGGGUGACCGGCCACAUUGGGACAGAGAUACGGCCCAGACUCCUACGGGAGGGAGCAGUGGGGAAUAUUGCACAAUGGGCGGAAGCCUGAUGCAGCAACGCCGCGUGCGGGAUGACGGCCUUCGGGUUGUAAACCGCUUUCGCCUGUGACGAAGCGUGAGUGACGGUAAUGGGUAAAGAAGCACCGGCUAACUACGUG
Molecule: ribosomal RNA, 468 nt
Filed under: uncultured bacterium
Lineage: Bacteria
Description: partial 16S ribosomal RNA
Rfam family: Bacterial small subunit ribosomal RNA
Source: RNAcentral